AGAAUCAACGCUGGCGGCGUGCCUAACACAUGCAAGUCGCACGAGAAAGGGGAGCAAUCCCUGAGUACAGUGGCGCACGGGUGAGUAACACGUGAAUGAUCUACCUCCGAGUGGGGAAUAACUGAGAGAAAUCUUAGCUAAUACCGCAUAAUACCCACGGGUCAAAGCAGUAAUGCGCUUGGAGAGGAGUUCGCGGCAGAUUAGUUAGUUGGCGGGGUAAUGGCCCACCAAGACGAUGAUCUGUAUCCGGCCUGAGAGGGCGCACGGACACACUGGAACUGAAACACGGUCCAGACUCCUACGGGAGGCAGCAGUGGGGAAUUUUGCGCAAUGGGGGAAACCCUGACGCAGCAACGCCGCGUGGAGGAUGAAGCCCCUUGGGGUGUAAACUCCUUUCGAUCGGGAAGAUAAUGACGGUACCGAUAUAAGAACGCCCGGCUAACUUCGCGCCAGCAGCCGC
RNAcentral lists this ribosomal RNA (460 nucleotides) under uncultured bacterium. RNAcentral describes it as "SSU rRNA". It matches the Rfam family "Bacterial small subunit ribosomal RNA", at positions 26 to 518 of the family's 1533-position model. The record is from RNAcentral.